UACAGAGGUCUCAAGCGUUGUUCGGAUUCAUUGGGCGUAAAGGGUGCGUAGGCGGCGCGGUAAGUCGGGUGUGAAAUCUUGGAGCUUAACUCCGAAACUGCAUUCGAUACUGCCGUGCUUGAGGACUGGAGAGGAGACUGGAAUUUACGGUGUAGCGGUGAAAUGCGUUGAGAUCGUGAGGAACGCCCGCGGCGAAAGCGAGCGCCUGGACCCUUUCUGACGCUGAGACGCGAAAGCCAGGGGAGCGAACGGG
RNAcentral lists this ribosomal RNA (253 nucleotides) under uncultured bacterium. RNAcentral's name for it is "partial 16S ribosomal RNA". It matches the Rfam family "Bacterial small subunit ribosomal RNA", at positions 524 to 776 of the family's 1533-position model. The record is from RNAcentral.